Long non-coding RNA from Pan troglodytes (chimpanzee), 1714 nucleotides. RefSeq lists it as uncharacterized. The transcript has 4 exons. NCBI's taxonomy places the organism in Eukaryota, Metazoa, Chordata, Mammalia, Primates, Hominidae. The record is from RefSeq and is a predicted model, not a curated record.
AAAUGGGGAGAUUUGGACACACACACCACACACACACACACGGAGAACACCAUGUGAAGAUGAAGGCAGAGGCAGAGAUGGGGAUAUUAAUGCUGAGAAAAAACUAACUUUAGUGCAACACACAGAAACAGCAUCAACUAUAAAGUUCUGGACAAAGAAAAAUGUAAUUUCUCCCACACCAAAGCCUUGGUUCCACUCAGGAUUGGGCAUCAUCAUAGACUACCUCCUUGGAAGAGGAGAAGAGCUACUUAGUAACUCUCUUGAGAAAAAUCUCAGAUGGUGAACUAUGAGAGGGCCAACCCACAUACACAGUAAAAAAUAAAAUUUAUUUAAGAUGCCAGCAAGAGGUAAAGCAAGAGGUCAAAUAAAAAGAAGGAAGUCCAGCCCAAGUGGAAUGAAAGCAAGAGGUUCAAAUGGCCAAAACAAUAGCCUCCAAAAAUGUGGUGACGAAUGACCAGAGAGAAGAAAAAGGAAUUGCUUUCUGCCUCCAAGCUGAACUUGGAACCUAGGUCUUUCUGAGCACGAUGUUGUCCUACGUCCCCAGAAGGGGCCAAGGAGGCAGCUAUGAAUGUCAGGUGUGAAUAAUUCAAAACCCCAAACCACCUGUGGCUUUGAGGCCUUUUUUUUUUUUUUUUUCAAUUACUCAGAGGGAAACACAGUCUCCUUGAUUUCCUCUGGGGACCUUUCAGGGAGCCAGCCCUUGUAAUAACUGCCUGUUAUGGUGAGAGGAAAACUGGCUUUAAAAACCUUUUAACCCAAAGGGAUUGAGCAGCUAAUGGACAUCAUCCCUUUGGCAAAAAGGGAUGAUGUAAAACUCCUGCCCCAUUUUUAAAACCAGGACUUGUUUAUAUAAUCUUUUCAUACAGUUAAAGCUUUUUUGGUUUUAAUAUAUUAUUUAGAGCCUGUUACAUUGCAGCAUAAUGCAAAAACAGUUAUCAAAAAAAAAAAAAAACAACAACAAAAACUUCUCUCUACAUUGCUCCAAUUCAAAUAUGCCUUUAACUUAUUUGACGGUUUUGACUGAUGGCCAAAAAAGAAAUUCCAGUCAUUUGCAAAUGUUAUUUUCAUUUUAACCACUAUACAGACUAAUUAUGAAUUUUUGCAUCAAAACUGAGCAAUUCUACCAUUUUAAUGUGGUAUAAAAAAAGUUUCUGAGGGAAUUAGAAAACUCACAGAAUGCUGACAUGCCCACAGUUGACAAUAACAACAAAAAAUUUCAGCAGUAAACAGUUCUUAGUAUAUCCUGCAAUUUCCAUUUAAAACAUUUAUAAGAGAAUAUUAACAAACAUGAAAAUGAUAUAUUUUUGCAUAGAAAAAUAAACUCACAAGGUUUUAGAACCAUAAAUAACCCACAAUUCUGGUUACCAUCUACCUUGAUUAAUGUCUUUAGCCAGUAUUUGAAACAUCACCAUUUAUCAUCUUAGCUUCUUUCUUUUCUUUUUAAUACAAAAUUAAUGCAAACUGCUUUUGUUUUAAUAAUAAUAAUACAGUCUAUGCUACAUAUGGCAUGAAAUAAUGAAACCCAGUAAAUUUAUCCAAUAGUGAAUACACAGAAGUGAAGAGUUUUGGCUCUGUUUGCAACUGUCCUACAGUAAUCCCAGGUGCAACCCAACUCAUUAUGACACAGUUUAGCUGAAAAAUGUAAUCUGUAUGGUUAUAAAUCAGUUUCAUUGUACUUACAAUAGAAAUAAAUUUUGGAGGCCAAACCAAGUUU